GGACCAAGGAGUCUAGCAUGUGCGCGAGUCAUUGGGACUCUGUUAAAACCUAAAGGCGUAAUGAAAGUAAAUAUUCAUUUGUGUUCUAUAACCGGAUCACAUUGAAUUCAGGGAAGAUGGGUAACGAAAUUUAUGUUACCCCGCAUUCCCGGGGCGUCGCGUACUUAUUGCAAGUUGCGGCGCACCAAGAGCGUACACGCUGGGACCC
Molecule: ribosomal RNA, 208 nt
Filed under: Pterostichus unctulatus
Lineage: Eukaryota; Metazoa; Arthropoda; Insecta; Coleoptera; Carabidae
Description: partial 28S ribosomal RNA
Rfam family: Eukaryotic large subunit ribosomal RNA
Source: RNAcentral